Molecule: long non-coding RNA, 1199 nt
Organism: Mirounga angustirostris (Northern elephant seal)
Lineage: Eukaryota; Metazoa; Chordata; Mammalia; Carnivora; Phocidae
Exons: 2
Source: RefSeq, a predicted model, not a curated record
ACAUAGAAGAUUGUGUAAUGGUUCGUUCGUGUAAUGGUUCGACUGAGUUUCCGUCUUUUUAUACCUCCUCUUUCAUGUAAGCUUUUCUUCCCCCCUUUCCUGUUGGCAAAUGGGUGAGCCUGCCCUGUAGGUCGGCCCCCCUCACAUUCCAGGGCACGGCUAGGGGCGGGGCCCGUUUGCCCAAGUCCUUGUAGGGACAUCGCAGAGAGGGCUGCGCGGCCCACGUGACCCGCCCCCGCGCGGCCCCGGAGCGUCAGGCCCUGGCCGCCGGGCGGUCGUGCGCCUGCGCGCGGGGCUCCCGCCGGGUCUGCGUCGCUGUCUGUGAGGCUUUUGGGUAGGAGGUUUUAUCUCGGCGUACUGCGCGGUGUUUUGGAGAGCUCCACCCCUUCCACAUUGGAGCAAACCUUCGGAAGUCCCCAGGGCCCUCAGCUAAGCGGCCACUAUCUUUUUGGCCCAGACGGAUUUCGUGAGGUCACGAAUGAUGAAGACUUACUCCCUCUUCAAAAACGUUGUUUGGUAUUUUUCCCACCAGAGCCCCGCUUAACAAGGAAAGACUGGAUCUGACCAGGAAGGAAGACAGGCGACCAGCAAGAGCUAACGAAAUCUUGCCCCUAUCUCUCACUAUGAUGCAGACUUGUGGCUUGGUGAAAAUAGGAAUAAAAAGUUGGGGCUAUUUUUUUCUCAGCUCUCCUUUCCUUGGACAGCUUCUAACAAUUCAUCUAGUUAAAGGAAAGCCCUCCCCAGUUCUGUCCUUUUCCGUACAAAGCCUGGUGAGGAAAACUAUGGUGCUGGUCACCUCAGCUCUAGUGAGCUCAACUACGAAAGGAGUGAAUUGGAUCCGGCAACGCUCAGAUCAUCCCAGCACUAAUAAGGCUCAGUUCCUAGUUUGGCUCAUGUGGCAAGAAGAGUUCUGACGUUUGGGGUGGCCCUAUUGUCCUUUCCUCUCACUUGAAUCACCCUGCUGAAAAGGAAGAUUUUAUUUAUUUAUCUGACACAGAGAGAGCACAAGAGAGACACAGAGCAAGCACAAGCAGAGGGAACGACAAGCAGGGGAGAAGCAGACUCCCCACUGAGCAGGGAGCCCGAUGUGGGGCUCGAUCCCAGGACCCUGGAAUCAUGACCUGAACUGAAGGCAGACGCUUAACCAACUGAGCCACCCCGGUGCCCCAUCAUUUAGUUCUUACAACAACCAUGUGAGG